This 497-nucleotide ribosomal RNA is filed under the name uncultured bacterium. RNAcentral describes it as "partial 16S ribosomal RNA". It matches the Rfam family "Bacterial small subunit ribosomal RNA", at positions 28 to 507 of the family's 1533-position model. The record is from RNAcentral.
GACGAACGCUGGCGGCGUGCCUAAUACAUGCAAGUUGAGCGCUGAAGGUUGGUACUUGUACCAACUGGAUGAGCAGCGAACGGGUGAGUAACGCGUGGGGAAUCUGCCUUUGAGCGGGGGACAACAUUUGGAAACGAAUGCUAAUACCGCAUAAAAACUUUAAACACAAGUUUUAAGUUUGAAAGAUGCAAUUGCAUCACUCAAAGAUGAUCCCGCGUUGUAUUAGCUAGUUGGUGAGGUAAAGGCUCACCAAGGCGAUGAUACAUAGCCGACCUGAGAGGGUGAUCGGCCACAUUGGGACUGAGACACGGCCCAAACUCCUACGGGAGGCAGCAGUAGGGAAUCUUCGGCAAUGGACGAAAGUCUGACCGAGCAACGCCGCGUGAGUGAAGAAGGGUUUCGGAUCGUAAAACUCUGUUGGUAGAGAAGAACGUUGGUGAGAGUGGAAAGCUCAUCAAAUGACGGUAACUACCCAGAAAGGGACGGCUAACUACGUG